Molecule: long non-coding RNA, 1319 nt
Filed under: Trifolium pratense (red clover)
Lineage: Eukaryota; Viridiplantae; Streptophyta; Magnoliopsida; Fabales; Fabaceae
Description: long non-coding RNA (TPRA_LNC012032)
Source: RNAcentral
UGACACGUCUGAGACACGUACAUGACACAAACGCUUACAUUGAUUUUAUUUUGGCAAAACUUGAAAUCAUUUACUAUUUUUUUUGGGGUUUAGUGUGCCACAAUCAUACUAAGGUGAUGGAAUUUGAUCCUGGACUUCUUAGGUCUUUAAGUUUUGAUGACAUUAUUCUGAUCAGGAUUUUGGUCAAACUAAAUACAUUAAGUUAACAAAAAGAAAUGAUGUUGAAGGCAACUUUUCUUCUGCUAGUAUUCUUAAUUAUAACUACUGAAACUAGAUUGAGAAUACUGAUUGAUACCAAGAACUUGAUAUUCCUUGUUGUUUCUUUUCUCAUGCUCACGAAGCUUUUAAUAGCUUCUGUUUGCAUUAUUUUGAUUCAAUUAUGCUUUUGAUUUUGCAGGGUCACUAAAAUUAGGUGUUGAUGUCAUUGUCAAGGUCUUUUAUAUUACACUAUGUUUACCAUUCUAAUAUGGACAACUUCUACGAGUGCUUCAUUGUGGACUAGUAUUUAACAAAUAUUUGAAAUUUUAUCGAUGACAUAUUAUUAUUUGAAAAUAUAAGUUAAUGGUUAUUGUCAUUUUUACAAUUAAAGGUGUAUUAGGGACAUGUCGUCAGUGUACUAAAACAUGUUGCUGCUGGAUUGGAUAUUUUUUUUUUUAAAUUAAAUAAAUUCGGAUACUCCUUCGACAUAUCACAACAUUGGUAUGCAAGGCCGAUCAUGGAGUCCUUACACGAAAUAUUAUAAAUGGACUUUUAAUAAAAAAUAAAAAAAGAAUAUUUCUCAUUUAAAUUGUAAAUAAUAUUAAUAUAAAAAAAUUCGUGGCAAAGAAAUAAAAAAAAUAUAAAAAUCCAUGUGUUCUGAGAGAGUUAUACCGUGACACAGGGGACCAUGGUUGCGAUUGCGUACUCAGUGAUGUAGUUUUGAAUAUGCUGCCAAAUGCGGUUCCGGAUAAUUAAAAAUUGCCUUCUUUUUGUGUCCUGGCAUUGAUGGUAAACCAUGAUAUUUUCAUGAAUCCAUUUUCUUUGUAACUUAAAAAAUGCUUUGAAUUUUUUCCUUCAUAUCCACCGUAGUAUUUUUACUGGAAAAAUAUCUCCGAUUUUUGCAUAUUGAUUGCUUGACCCGAUACUUCUUCAUAAUGCUUUAAACUUAAAGUAUCAAGCAUCACUAUAAUAUAUCUUUCUCCAGCCAUGCAAAAAAGAAAGCAGUUGUCUAAAAAUAAAAGGUGUGUCAGGAGUUGAGCUCCUCGACACACUUUGAUGCCAUGAACAUAUCUUUGUGCUUUCAGUCUCUUGAGAAGGAUUGACAGACCCUCUGUACAAAU